This is a long non-coding RNA of Momordica charantia (bitter melon), 675 nucleotides long. RefSeq lists it as uncharacterized. The record is from RefSeq and is a predicted model, not a curated record. NCBI's taxonomy places the organism in Eukaryota, Viridiplantae, Streptophyta, Magnoliopsida, Cucurbitales, Cucurbitaceae.
UACUCACCAUUCAAACUCUUAGUAAGUCAAUAAGAACGGUGAUUCAUCGUGUUCUCGAUGAAUCGUCUAACUUAAAAGGCACAUCAAAUCAAAACUGAAAGAUCUUCAUCGAUUUGAUAAUUUAAGGAUGGAAAACUCUAAAGUGAAUCUCCUUUGUCACCAUUUUACAGAAUAAUAUAUUCAUCGACAAACAUUUAAAACAUUUGAAAAAUAUUACUUUUAAUCGGAAGUCAAUAACUUCGGAAAUUAUUCACUUUUAAAAACGAGUCGCCGCCGCUCGGCAUCGUCGAGUCGCCGCCACCCGCUGCGGAGUGCCUCAUCACUCAGGCCACCUCUGAAAGUUUUGUUGGGGUGAUUGAUCAGACAAGGGGGCUUCUGAAUUACGUGGACAAAUAUUGCUCAAAAGUUGGCUACAAUUCUGAAUUGAAAUAUGUAUGUAUUGCAGGAAGAGAAGAGGAAGCAAAAGGUUUCUGAAAUAAAGGCUGGAAUUGAUGAAGCAGUGUCUCUGUUACCUUGUUAACUUGUCCUUGUGAAAAAUGCCUAAAACUUCGUCAUGUUAUAUUUUUCAUGGACUUCAGAUUCGAAAAAUGGAUCUUUAGUCUAGAAGCUUGUACACAAUAUGUAAAUAUGAAUACCAUAUCUUUGUAUUGAUUUCCCCUUCUCUCUCUCACUUAA